Molecule: long non-coding RNA, 273 nt
Organism: Spinacia oleracea (spinach)
Lineage: Eukaryota; Viridiplantae; Streptophyta; Magnoliopsida; Caryophyllales; Amaranthaceae
Exons: 3
Source: RefSeq, a predicted model, not a curated record
GAUGCUUUUAGUUCUUUGCUUGUCUAAACGUGAGGUCUACAUAUUUGAUUCUCAACAGAAGAAGAGAAAUUUGAUGAUUAAGGAGCCACUAAACAAUGCUUUUCGGAGUUACAAGAGACUAGGUGGACAAUCUAAGGGAACUAAAUUAACAUGGAUUCCAGCACAGUGUGCUCAACAACCGGGAUCACUAGAAUGUGGCUACUACGUCAUGCGUUUUAUGUACGACAUAAUAAUGAAUCAUGGUAAUAGUCAAGAUCUUACUAAGGUAUGUUC